CCUACGGGAGGCAGCAGUGGGGAAUAUUGGACAAUGGGCGAAAGCCUGAUCCAGCAAUGCCGCGUGAGUGAUGAAGGCCUUAGGGUCGUAAAGCUCUUUUACCAGGGAUGAUAAUGACAGUACCUGGAGAAUAAGCUCCGGCUAACUCCGUGCCAGCAGCCGCGGUAAUACGGAGGGAGCUAGCGUUGUUCGGAAUUACUGGGCGUAAAGCGUGCGUAGGCGGUUAUUCAAGUCAGAGGUGAAAGCCCGGGGCUCAACCCCGGAACGGCCUUUGAAACUAGAUAACUAGAAUCUUGGAGAGGUCAGUGGAAUUCCGAGUGUAGAGGUGAAAUUCGUAGAUAUUCGGAAGAACACCAGUGGCGAAGGCGACUGACUGGACAAGUAUUGACGCUGAGGUACGAAAGCGUGGGGAGCAAACAGGAUUAGAUACCCUGGUAGUCCACGCCGUAAACGAUGAUAACUAGCUGUCCGGACACUUGGUGUUUGGGUGGCGCAGCUAACGCAUUAAGUUAUCCGCCUGGGGAGUACGGUCGCAAGAUUAAAACUCAAAUGAAUUGACG
RNAcentral lists this ribosomal RNA (560 nucleotides) under uncultured bacterium. Its description in RNAcentral is "bacterial SSU rRNA". It matches the Rfam family "Bacterial small subunit ribosomal RNA", at positions 338 to 915 of the family's 1533-position model. The record is from RNAcentral.